CCCCGGGCUCAACCUGGGAACUGCGUUNUGAACUGGGUGACUAGAGUGUGUCAGAGGGAGGUAGAAUUNCACGUGUAGCAGUGAAAUGCGUAGAGAUGUGGAGGAAUACCGAUGGCGAAGGCAGCCUCCUGGGAUAACACUGACGUUCAUGCCCGAAAGCGUGGGUAGCAAACAGGAUUAGAUACCCUGGUAGUCCACGCCCUAAACGAUGUCGAUUAGCUGUUGGGCAGCAUGACUGCUUUGUAGCGAAGCUAACGCGUGAAAUCGACCGCCUGGGGAGUACGGUCGCAAGAUUAAAACUCAAAGGAAUUGACGGGGACCCGCACAAGCGGUGGAUGAUGUGGAUUAAUUCGAUGCAACGCGAAGAACCUUACCUGGUCUUGACAUGUACGGAACCCUCCAGAGACGGAGGGGUGCCUUCGGGAGCCGUAACACAGGUGCUGCAUGGCUGUCGUCAGCUCGUGUCGUGAGAUGUUGGGUUAAGUCCCGCAACGAGCGCAACCCUUGUCAUUAGUUGCCAUCAUUAAGUUGGGCACUCUAAUGAGACUGCCGGUGACAAGCCGGAGGAAGGUGGGGAUGACGUCAAGUCCUCAUGGCCCUUAUGACCAGGGCUUCACACGUCAUACAAUGGUCGGUACAGAGGGUAGCCAAGCCGCGAGGUGGAGCCAAUCUCACAAAACCGAUCGUAGUCCGGAUUGCACUCUGCAACUCGAGUGCAUGAAGUCGGAAUCGCUAGUAAUCGCAGGUCAGCAUACUGCGGUGAAUACGUUCCCGGGUCUUGUACACACCGCCCGUCACACCAUGGGAGUGGGGGAUACCAGAAGUAGGUAGGGUAACCGCAAGGAGCCC
This 849-nucleotide ribosomal RNA is filed under the name uncultured bacterium. RNAcentral describes it as "bacterial SSU rRNA". It matches the Rfam family "Bacterial small subunit ribosomal RNA", at positions 601 to 1451 of the family's 1533-position model. The record is from RNAcentral.